RNAcentral lists this ribosomal RNA (250 nucleotides) under uncultured bacterium. RNAcentral describes it as "partial 16S ribosomal RNA". It matches the Rfam family "Bacterial small subunit ribosomal RNA", at positions 524 to 773 of the family's 1533-position model. The record is from RNAcentral.
UACGGAGGGUGCAAGCGUUAUCCGGAUUCACUGGGUUUAAAGGGUGUGUAGGCGGGCUAUUAAGUCAGCGGUGAAAUCUCCGGGCUCAACCCGGAAACUGCCAUUGAUACUAUUAGUCUUGAAUAUCGUUGAGGUAGGCGGAAUAUAUCAUGUAGCGGUGAAAUGCAUAGAUAUGAUAUAGAACACCGAUUGCGAAGGCAGCUUGCUAAACGAUGAUUGACGCUGAGGCACGAAAGCGUGGGGAUCAAAC